AUUGAACGCUGGCGGUAUGCUUUACACAUGCAGUCGAACGGAUUAAAGAGCUUGCUCUUUAGUUAGUGGCAAACGGGUGAGUAACGCGUGAGAAUUUACCCCUUAGUGAAGGAUACCCUCGAGAAAUCGAGGUUAAUACUGCAUAAGUCCUUACGAGGAGAAAGGUGGCCUCUUGCUACCGCUGAGGGAUAAGCUUGCGUACUAUUAGCUAGUUGGUGAGGUAAUGGCCCACCAAGGCGAUGAUGGUUAGCCGACCUGAGUGGGUGAUCGGCCACAUUGGGACUGAGAUACGGCCCAGACUCCUACGGGAGGCAGCAGUGGGGAAUUUUGCACAAUGGGCGAAAGCCUGAUGCAGCGACGCCGCGUGGAGGAUGACGGUCUUCGGAUUGUAAACUCCUGUUAAGUGGGAAGAAAGACGUACUUCUAAUACUAGUACGGGAUGACGGUACCACUAGAGAAAGCUCCGGCUAACUCUGUGUCUGUG
This 484-nucleotide ribosomal RNA is filed under the name uncultured bacterium. Its description in RNAcentral is "bacterial SSU rRNA". It matches the Rfam family "Bacterial small subunit ribosomal RNA", at positions 30 to 513 of the family's 1533-position model. The record is from RNAcentral.